UGAAUACGAGACGCUAAGGCGUCGAAGUAGUGUAUGUCAUACUUCCAAGAAAAGCUUGCACUGUCAUAGAUAAAAAACGCCUGUACCAUAACCGACACAGGUGGGUAGGUAGAGUAUACUAAGGGGCGCGAGAUAACUCUCUCUAAGGAACUCGGCAAAAUAACUCCGUAACUUCGGGAGAAGGAGUGCCUUAUUCGUAAGGUUGCAAUAACAAGAUCCAAGCAACUGUUUAUCAAAAACACAGGUCUCCGCUAAGUCGUAAGACGAUGUAUGGGGGCUGACGCCUGCCCAGUGCCAGAAGGUUAAAGAAGUUGGUUAGCAAUUGCGAAGCUGAUAACUGAAGCCCUGGUGAACGGCGGCCGUAACAAUAACGGUCCUAAGGUAGCGAAAUUCCUUGUCGGGUAAGUUCCGACCCGCACGAAAGGCGUAAUGAUUUGGAUACUGUCUCGGAGAGGGGCUCGGUGAAAUAGACUUGUCUGUGAAGAUGCGGACUACCUGCACCAGGACAGAAAGACCCUAUGAGGCUUUACUGUAACUUGAAAUUGAAAUUGGACUUUAUUCGCGCAGUAUAGGUGGGAGGCGUUGAUUAUAAUCUUGUGGGAUUAUUGGAGCCAUCAGUGAGAUACCACUCUUGUAAUGUUAGAUUUCUAACUUUGAAUCAUUAUCUGGUCAAAGAACAGUUUCAGGCGGGCAGUUUGACUGGGGCGGUCGCCUCCUAAACGGUAACGGAGGCGUACAAAGGUUUCCUCUGAACGGUUAGAAAUCGUAUCUAGAGUGUAAAGGCAUAAGGAAGCUUGACUGUGAGACCUACAAGUCGAGCAGGGACGAAAGUCGGUCUUAGUGAUCUGACGGUACUGAGUGGAAAGGCCGUCACUCAACGGAUAAAAGUUACUCUAGGAUAACAGGCUGAUCUCCCCCAAGAGUUCACAUCGACGGGGAGGUUUGGCACCUCGAUGUCGGCUCAUCGCAUCCUGGGGCGGUAGUACGUCCCAAGGGUUGGGCUGUUCGCCCAUGAAAGCGGUACGCGAGCUGGGUUCAGAACGUCGUGAGACAGUUCGGUCCAUAUCCGGUGUAGGCGUUAGAAUAUUGAGAGGAGCCUUCUUUAGUACGAGAGGACCGAGAAGGACAUACCUCUGGUGUACCAGUUAUCGUGCCAACGGUAAACGCUGGGUAGCUAUGUAUGGAGUGGAUAACCGCUGAAAGCAUCUAAGUGGGAAGCCCACCUCAAGAUAAGUAUUCUCAUC
This 1244-nucleotide ribosomal RNA is filed under the name metagenome. RNAcentral describes it as "bacterial LSU rRNA". It matches the Rfam family "Bacterial large subunit ribosomal RNA", at positions 1564 to 2818 of the family's 2925-position model. The record is from RNAcentral.